GUUACGUAAGUCAGGAGUGAUGGCCAGUAAGCAGUGUCUCUGUCUUCUCCUUUACCUCUCUGGGAGAUUGGCUACCUUCUCAGGUCCUGUCGAGUGUUCUGGAAUACUCAGGAAUGCUCUCAGGUCCAUGGGUAUUUUCUUCUCUAGCUCUCUGUGAUACAUUUUCUUUUCCAUGACAAAAGCUUAUUUUCCUAGGUUGCCAAAGUCACUCUGUUUAGACAGGUCCACCAAAGACACACCAUUGCUACUGGAGCCACACCUCUGUUGGUACUGCAGUGCUGCCACACUGUCUACAGAUAUGGCUGGCACUUUGCUACUCCUCUCUUGCCUGUGCCCAGAAGACUCUCAGACAAAGCGACUGCACAUCUGGGUCUGGUUGGAUCUGCUCAGGAGCCGUCCUUUCUGCUUCAUGUUUUCUGUGUGCUCCCUCAGCACACAAGAGAGGCCCAAAACCCAGCCUUUGCUUCAGAUGUCUUAGAGCAUCCCCAUUUGUCUGUACUGCCAUUGGAAGUGGGAAAUGGAAACUGGCAUAGGCCCUGUGAUCUGACUCCAGCUUCACUCCCCUUCCUCACGGCUCUCCACACCUCUUCCACUCCACUGAAGACAAGUCAACGGUCCCUAUGCACACCUCCCACCCUGCAUCACUGUCCCUUCAUCUGGAAUAUAGAUCUUGUUUCCUUUUUGAUUUCCUGCUCAAGUGCCAUCUAGCAAGCCUUGCUAGCCCAUAAUAAACCCGUGGCUCUUGAGACCCC
Molecule: non-coding RNA, 752 nt
Organism: Rattus norvegicus (Norway rat)
Lineage: Eukaryota; Metazoa; Chordata; Mammalia; Rodentia; Muridae
Source: RefSeq, a predicted model, not a curated record